UACGUAUGGUGCAAGCGUUAUCCGGAUUUACUGGGUGUAAAGGGAGCGCAGGCGGCGCGUUAAGCCUGGUGUGAAAGCCCGCGGCCCAACCGCGGGACUGCAUUGGGAACUGGCGCGCUGGAGUGCCGGAGGGGUAGGCGGAAUUCCUAGUGUAGCGGUGAAAUGCGUAGAUAUUAGGAGGAACACCAGUGGCGAAGGCGGCCUACUGGACGGUGACUGACGCUGAGGCUCGAAAGCGUGGGGGGCAAACAGG
RNAcentral lists this ribosomal RNA (253 nucleotides) under uncultured bacterium. Its description in RNAcentral is "partial 16S ribosomal RNA". It matches the Rfam family "Bacterial small subunit ribosomal RNA", at positions 524 to 776 of the family's 1533-position model. The record is from RNAcentral.